CCGCAUCUGUGCAUGCAGCAUAUCAAUAAGCGGAGGAAAAGAAACUAACAAGGAUUCCCUUAGUAACGGCGAGUGAAGCGGGAAGAGCUCAAAUUUGAAAUCUUCAAGGUUUUACCUUGACGAAUUGUAGUUUAAAGAAGUGUUUUCUGUUGAAGUUUUGGUAAAAGUUCUUUGGAAUAGGACAUCAUAGAGGGUGAGAAUCCCGUAUUUGACCAUUAUUUUCAGCUGUGUGCUACACUUUCAAAGAGUCGGAUUGUUUGGGAAUGCAGUCCAAAAUGGGUGGUAAAUUUCAUCUAAAGCUAAAUAUUGGCGAGAGACCGAUAGCGAACAAGCUACCGUGAGGGAAAGAUGAAAAGAACUUUGAAAAGAGAGUUAAACAGUACGUGAAAUUGUCAAAAGGGAAGCGUUUGACACCAGUGUUGUUUUCUCGAAAAUCAAUUAAAAAGAGUUAGAUUUUGUUGUGUAUUGACCUUAACAGCUUGCAUUUCAAUUUUCUUGCUUUUUUUAAUGCACUUUUCGUUUAACAAGUCAACAUCAGUUUCUUUUGUUGUAAAAAGGUCAUUGGAAGGUGGCUUUCUUUUCGGAGAAAGUGUUUAUAGCCUUUGACUCCUGCAAUCGGAGAGACUGAGGUCUGCAGCGUAGAUCCUUCGGGGUUAGAUACAUUUGUGCUAAGUUAUAGCUUUUCAUAGACAACUUGUUGACUAUGAUUUAGUCAUGUAGCUUACUCGCUUAUGCUAUUUUACCUACGCUUAGGAUGUUGAUCUGUAGUGCGUGCGC
This 777-nucleotide ribosomal RNA is filed under the name uncultured Neocallimastigales. RNAcentral's name for it is "partial large subunit ribosomal RNA". It matches the Rfam family "Eukaryotic large subunit ribosomal RNA", at positions 25 to 635 of the family's 3401-position model. The record is from RNAcentral. Lineage: Eukaryota; Fungi; Neocallimastigomycota; Neocallimastigomycetes; Neocallimastigales.